This 421-nucleotide ribosomal RNA is filed under the name uncultured Enterobacteriaceae bacterium. RNAcentral describes it as "bacterial SSU rRNA". It matches the Rfam family "Bacterial small subunit ribosomal RNA", at positions 355 to 774 of the family's 1533-position model. Lineage: Bacteria; Pseudomonadati; Pseudomonadota; Gammaproteobacteria; Enterobacterales; Enterobacteriaceae. The record is from RNAcentral.
UGGGGAAUAUUGCACAAUGGGCGCAAGCCUGAUGCAGCCAUGCCGCGUGUAUGAAGAAGGCCUUCGGGUUGUAAAGUACUUUCAGCGAGGGAGGAGUGUGUAGUAAACCACAGCAAUUGACGUUACUCGCAGAAGAAGCACCGGCUAACUCCGUGCCAGCAGCCGCGGUAAUACGGAGGGUGCAAGCGUUAAUCGGAAUUACUGGGCGUAAAGCGCACGCAGGCGGUCUGUCAAGUCGGAUGUGAAAUCCCCGGGCUCAACCUGGGAACUGCAUCCGAAACUGGCAGGCUAGAGUCUUGUAGAGGGGGUAGAAUUCCAGGUGUAGCGGUGAAAUUGCGUAGAGAUCUGGAGGAAUACCGGUGGCGAAGGCGGCCCCCUGGACAAAGACUGACGCUCAGGUGCGAAAGCGUGGGAGCAAACA